Octopus bimaculoides (California two-spot octopus) is the source of this 1012-nucleotide long non-coding RNA. RefSeq lists it as uncharacterized. The record is from RefSeq and is a predicted model, not a curated record. NCBI's taxonomy places the organism in Eukaryota, Metazoa, Mollusca, Cephalopoda, Octopoda, Octopodidae.
UCCAUAGGCUUUUACAGGAACAAACUUGACCGUCACAGCAUGAAUCAUGUGGAAUAUUACAUGUCCAUUUUUUGCACUUGACGCUUCUGUAAAUAGAGAAAAGAGAACGCUACAUAAUUAGAAAUUCUAGCAAUCUAAAGACACCAGGUAUAUAGUAGCUAUACUAUAGCUUUAUUAUGUAUAUACGGUGCCUCUCAAAUGCUAUCGUUUCAAUGAAAUGAUUCUAUAGUUAUUUGAUUCUACCAUUUAUGUUAACAUUGUAGUGCUUCCAAUCCUGCUUUCUACCACUGUUACAGCAGAAGCGGGACUGUCAAAAGACGAACGAAAAUCAUUAUAAAAAGCAAUAAAAUAACAAUAAAUCAACGUUAAAAACCGAAGGAAACAAACAACGAACCAGGAUUACUAUGAAGUGAUGGUAGUGGUGAAUAUUUACCUUGCUUCUGCGACGAGGCGCAUGAAAUGAGUACGCCGAUGUAGAGGAGUGCAAGAGUUCUUCUCAUCGCACAACUAAUGAUAUGAAAUAUAAGAAAGAAGGAAUGCAAUUGAAAACAUGGAAUUGACGUUACUUACUAAACGAUGUGAUUAGCCGUAACCUGGAACAUAGCUGAGAGUCACUGCGGUAUCCGCCCGGAUGAAAUAACUCUCCAAACUCAAACACACGUACACACACAUAUAUAUCCAUAUAUGUAUGUAUGUAUGUAUUUGACUAUGCACGUGUCCCUUAAAUUUUUUCUCUUUUUCACAAAAUGAUGUUGCUCAUUGAACGAGCGUGACAUUCAAAGAACAAUCUUUGUUUCGUGCAUGCUACAACGCAUUUAUAUAUAUAUAUAGCUGUAAGACUUUAUCCAUAAAAUAUAUUUCUAAUUUUGCCAUUGUUCUCUUUAUCCUUUUCUAUCUUUAUACAUACACACGCUAAUACACGACCUAUGUUGUAUUCCCCACUCUUGUUUAUACAACGAAUGGGGCAAAACUAACCGGUAUACAGCACUUACUCGGUAUUACCUGUAUCUUU